AAUCCUCCAUGUAUGCUGCAAUGGGUGGCGGCCUGAGUUUAAACUCUUCGUAACAAUCAGAGGAUUCUAAUGGUGGCAUUGAGUCCUCUUCAGUUCCUAUUGAUGAGUUAAACUCUUUCAUAUACCAAGGCACAUCCUGAGAGGCUCCCUGUCCUUCCACCUCCUCAAUUUCUUGUGCUAAAUUCACAAAUCUGUUAUUCUCCUCAUUAUUUGGAAGCCAAGUUGCUUCUCCAAGAGUCUCCUGCAGCAGUCACCUCUGGCUCCCCUCCCCUGCAAUUCUUCUAGAUGUUUCCAGAGAAUAGUUGCUGCACACACUAAAAGAUCAAUUUCGGAAUGAACAUUUGUACAGCACUUGUAAAAAUGCCAGCUCUGCAGAUCGAAGCGGCUGAGAGGCCAAAUGCAGGGCACAGCAAUCCUUCAGGGUCCUACAGGACAUUGGGUCCAACAUCCUAUGAACUGGCCGAGGUCUCUCCAUCUCCAUCGCCAUGGAUUCACCACCACUUCUGCAGGUGCAAACAGACUGAGCCAGCUCUCCAGCUUACUCAUAGGAAUGCCCGGUUGCUUGCCCAGUCUCAGUCCGAGAGACAGUUCCCGUGCAAGAAGUGUGCCUGCCCUGAUCCUACAUAAGGAGUCCCUGGGGGCGUGCCAAGUUGUCGUGACAGUGUCUUUGCUUGAGUAGCCAUCCCUAGUAAUGUCUUAUAGAGAUGCAGAGACCUGUGUGAUCUGUAGUCUAAUAUAUGUAGCCCUCAUGUGUUAAAUUUUGCAUUAAAAACAGCAGAGAAAAACAUGUCAUUGCUCCCAAGUCUAAUUCCAAAAGAGUUGGCCAGGACACAACUGUACAGUGCUUUUAAUUUAUUGUAAUCUUAUCAAUAUUAUUCGAAAGCGUUUUGUAUUGUAUAAUAAAAAUAAAUAUUAUUUCUCAUUA
Rhineura floridana is the source of this 925-nucleotide long non-coding RNA. RefSeq lists it as uncharacterized. The record is from RefSeq and is a predicted model, not a curated record. NCBI's taxonomy places the organism in Eukaryota, Metazoa, Chordata, Lepidosauria, Squamata, Rhineuridae. The transcript has 3 exons.